RNAcentral lists this ribosomal RNA (254 nucleotides) under uncultured bacterium. Its description in RNAcentral is "partial 16S ribosomal RNA". It matches the Rfam family "Bacterial small subunit ribosomal RNA", at positions 524 to 776 of the family's 1533-position model. The record is from RNAcentral.
UACGUAGGGUGCGAGCGUUGUCCGGAAUUAUUGGGCGUAAAGAGCUCGUAGGCGGUCUGUCGCGUCGGUCGUGAAAACUUGGGGCUUAACCCUGAGCUUGCGGUCGAUACGGGCAUGACUGGAGUUCGGCAGGGGAGACUGGAAUUCCUGGUGUAGCGGUGAAAUGCGCAGAUAUCAGGAGGAACACCGGUGGCGAAGGCGGGGCUCUGGGCCGAUACUGGCGCUGAGGAGCGAAAGCGUGGGGAGCGAACAGG